Lemur catta (Ring-tailed lemur) is the source of this 72-nucleotide small nucleolar RNA. RefSeq annotates it as small nucleolar RNA SNORD45. The record is from RefSeq and is a predicted model, not a curated record. The transcript has a single exon. NCBI's taxonomy places the organism in Eukaryota, Metazoa, Chordata, Mammalia, Primates, Lemuridae.
GGUCAAUCAUGUAAUGAUAUGUACUAGCUGAAUCCACAGUUGAUGUGAAUUUUAAAAUUAUGCUGAGACCUU